UGGAUAACGUCACUUAUUUACAUGGCAUCAAUUGACAAUUGAUGCUAUCGGAUUUACAAGCAAGCGCAGACGGCAUAUGACAGAUUUUAAAUACAUGUUUUAACGUUGUUUUCUGUCAGUUUCAUCAGAAUGGAGAUAACAAUAUUGUAUUUUAAGCUCCGACGGCAUCAAUUGUAGAUUUGAAGGUCACAAAUACCUGUUUACUUCUCCACUAACGUGUCGCCAGUAAACUUAAUUUGUGACCAUCAAAUCCCCAAUUGAUGCCGUCAGAGCUUAAAAUACAAUACAGUUAUCUCCUAAGUAACCAAACAAAAAAUAUGUGGUGUACACCAAUGAGACAGCAACCAAACAAGAAAAUAUAAGGUGUACUUCAAUGAGACGGCAACCAAACAAGAAAAUAUGAGGUGUACACAACCAAACAACAAUAUGAGGUGUACACAAUGAGACGGCAACCAAACAAGAAAAUAUGAGGUGUACACCAAUGAGACAGCAACCAAACAAGAAAAUAUGAGGUGUACACCAAUGAGACAGCAACCAAA
RNAcentral lists this long non-coding RNA (539 nucleotides) under Mytilus galloprovincialis (Mediterranean mussel). The record is from RNAcentral. Lineage: Eukaryota; Metazoa; Mollusca; Bivalvia; Mytilida; Mytilidae.